This is a non-coding RNA of Spinacia oleracea (spinach), 71 nucleotides long. Lineage: Eukaryota; Viridiplantae; Streptophyta; Magnoliopsida; Caryophyllales; Amaranthaceae. The record is from Rfam.
AACCUAUUAGCUCAAAUGGUAGAGCACUAUGCAGAUGCAUAGGGAUGUAGGUUCGAUUCCUACAUAGGUUG